AUUCCUCUGCAAUCGGGAAGGAACGAGAUGCAAGGGGAAUGAUCCACAGAAAAGAGGGCGAUAUGAGAGCAAGAAUGCUCACCGAUGGCGAUGAGAGAGCAGGACCCGAUGCUGUUCUGGAUGACGAUUCGGGCACCGUGGCCGAGAAACUUGAUCUAUCUAGUCUUGUAUACCUCGGCUUCGGCCCUGGCUUCCCUCCUGCAACCCCCGUCGCCAUGGGUGGAGAUCGGUUCUGCCUCGUCGGAGCUCGGGCAUCGUUCUCCGGAGAGUGAAUCCGGAGGGCGAGGGAGGAGAAGAGUUUUUGGAGCCAUGGGAGCGGAGAGAGGACCGAGGGGAUUCAAAAGGCUUGGAGUUGGGACGAAC
RNAcentral lists this long non-coding RNA (363 nucleotides) under Elaeis guineensis (African oil palm). RNAcentral describes it as "long non-coding RNA (EGUI_LNC073100)". Lineage: Eukaryota; Viridiplantae; Streptophyta; Magnoliopsida; Arecales; Arecaceae. The record is from RNAcentral.